Pelobates cultripes (western spadefoot toad) is the source of this 264-nucleotide non-coding RNA. The record is from the annotation of a GenBank genome assembly. Lineage: Eukaryota; Metazoa; Chordata; Amphibia; Anura; Pelobatidae.
ACACACAAUGCACCCCUUGCACACAGAAAAACACACAAUGCAUUACACACACAGACACACAUACACAAGCAAUGCAACCGUUACACACAAUGCAUCCCUUACACACACAGAAACACACAAUGCAUUCAUUACACACACUCAAUGCACCCCUUACACAUUCAAUGCAUCCCAUACAUACACAGAAACACACCUUGCAGCCCUUACACAUACAAACACAAUUUCACACAAUGCAUUCCUUACACACAUAUCAGGACAUCCCCUACA